This 256-nucleotide long non-coding RNA is filed under the name Nicotiana benthamiana. Its description in RNAcentral is "long non-coding RNA (NBEN_LNC039334)". The record is from RNAcentral. Lineage: Eukaryota; Viridiplantae; Streptophyta; Magnoliopsida; Solanales; Solanaceae.
UUAAUUUCGGACUUUAAGAAGCCAUGAACGCAGCUUGGUCGUAAUAAAAUCUAGCAUGUAAAUAAUGUAGGAUUUCCUUUUAAUUUUUAGAGACGCAAUGAAAAAAUAGAAAAUUAGUCGCUUUAGGAUAUCCUUUAAAAUAAAAUGAGCCAUGCCUCGCCGAAACAAAUUCUAAAUCGCGGGGCCCUCAAUUAAAAGGACCUAAUAAGUAAAUAGACUUCGGAAUAGGCCAUUUAGCGAAUUCCAUGGCAUUUUC